UACGUAGGGUCCGAGCGUUGUCCGGAAUUAUUGGGCGUAAAGAGCUCGUAGGCGGUCUGUUGCGUCGGUUGUGAAAACCUGGGGCUCAACUCCAGGCCUGCAAUCGAUACGGGCAGACUAGAGUUCGGUAGGGGAGACUGGAAUUCCCGGUGUAGCGGUGAAAUGCGCAGAUAUCGGGAGGAACACCAGUAGCGAAGGCGGCUCGCUGGGCCAUUCCUGACGCUGAGACGCGAAAGCUAGGGGAGCGAACAGG
Molecule: ribosomal RNA, 253 nt
Filed under: uncultured bacterium
Lineage: Bacteria
Description: partial 16S ribosomal RNA
Rfam family: Bacterial small subunit ribosomal RNA
Source: RNAcentral